AGACCCGAAACCCGGUGAUCUAGCCAUGGGCAGGUUGAAGGUUGGGUAACACUAACUGGAGGACCGAACCGACUAAUGUUGAAAAAUUAGCGGAUGACCUGUGGCUGGGGGUGAAAGGCCAAUCAAACCGGGAGAUAGCUGGUUCUCCCCGAAAGCUAUUUAGGUAGCGCCUCGUGAAUUCAUCUCCGGGGGUAGAGCACUGUUUCGGCUAGGGGGCCAUCCCGGCUUACCAACCCGAUGCAAACUGCGAAUACCGGAGAAUGUUAUCACGGGAGACACACGGCGGGUGCUAACGUCCGUCGUGAAGAGGGAAACAACCCAGACCGCCAGCUAAGGUCCCAAAGUCAUGGUUAAGUGGGAAACGAUGUGGGAAGGCCCAGACAGCCAGGAUGUUGGCUUAGAAGCAGCCAUCAUUUAAAGAAAGCGUAAUAGCUCACUGGUCGAGUCGGCCUGCGCGGAAGAUGUAACGGGGCUAAACCAUGCACCGAAGCUGCGGCAGCGACGCUGAUGCGUUGUUGGGUAGGGGAGCGUUCUGUAAGCCUGCGAAGGUGGCCUGUGAGGGUUGCUGGAGGUAUCAGAAGUGCGAAUGCUGACAUAAGUAACGAUAAAGCGGGUGAAAAGCCCGCUCGCCGGAAGACCAAGGGUUCCUGUCCAACGUUAAUCGGGGCAGGGUGAGUCGACCCCUAAGGCGAGGCCGA
This 698-nucleotide ribosomal RNA is filed under the name Salmonella enterica. RNAcentral describes it as "partial 23S ribosomal RNA". It matches the Rfam family "Bacterial large subunit ribosomal RNA", at positions 711 to 1405 of the family's 2925-position model. The record is from RNAcentral. RNAcentral also lists the same sequence under 2 other names. Lineage: Bacteria; Pseudomonadati; Pseudomonadota; Gammaproteobacteria; Enterobacterales; Enterobacteriaceae.